Bufo bufo (common toad) is the source of this 2303-nucleotide RNA transcript. It is a transcript of the gene named SLAM family member 5-like, with no coding region annotated. Lineage: Eukaryota; Metazoa; Chordata; Amphibia; Anura; Bufonidae. The transcript is spliced from 7 exons. The record is from RefSeq and is a predicted model, not a curated record.
UUUGAUGCACUAUUCCAAGAAGGCGUUUGUAUAAAAGGUGUAGCUUCUUCAGUCCUUCUUUUACAGUAUAGAAGGAGGGAUCACACCACACGUAGUCUGCUUCACCCCGGAGCAGUCACAGGACUGUUAGAUGUCAUUCACAGUGACACAGGAAGGAGAAGGCGAUGAGGUGGCUCUGUGUGUGCUCCUUCAUAGUACUUAGUUUAUCAUGCUGCAGACAAUGAAGAAGGAUCUGUCUGGAAAGAUCAAUGAUAUUUACAACAUCGAGAGCUCCUCACAUAGGCCAGGAAGUAAGAAUGUGAAAGCUGAUGCUUUGUCUCAAAGCUUUUGUGUGUUUCAACCUCCUGACACUCCUCCUGAAACUAUCUUGCUGGCUAUCAUCAUUGUGGCAUCUUUAUCCGCGAAUCUGGCUUCUGAUAUUAAGGCAGCACAACACCUAGCUCCGGAGCAGACACCCAAAGAUAAGUUGUUUGUUCCUGGUCAUUUCUGUCUCCGGCUGCUGGAUGUCAUGUCUGAUACACCCUGUGUGGUAAGAAGUCUGUCCUCAGUAGAAGGAGAAGAGGUGCUCCUUAAGGUGGAUCUGGCUGACUUGUCGGAGGUGUCCUGGGUAACUCGUCCUGGUAACUAUCACAUUGCCAGAACUUACAUUGGUGGAAAGAUUUAUAUACGAGGCAAUAACUAUAAAGGAAGACUUUUUGGUGAGAGUGAUGGCUCUUUAAGGAUCAGCAACUUAUCAAGAGAUGACCAAGGGCUCUACAGAGCAAACCAAAGGGGGCCAGAAAGUCUUCAGUGCUUGGAGUAUUAUCUCCAGGUCUACAAGCAGGUCUCAGAAGACGAUUUGCAGAUCUUCUACUCAGUGUCCAGGCACGAGGGCUGUAGUGUGAAUAUAACCUGCGCUGUACAAAGAUCAGAUCUGACGGUUACCUGGAUCAGCUCUGAAGGUGACAUCAUUGUAAAUGGCAAUGUCAUUUCUAUACAUGACCCCAGUAGAAAUGCCACCUACACCUGUACAGCAGGGAACCCCAGCAACAACCGCUCCAUAUCUGUCAACCCCUGGAGUCAGUGUGACAAAGGGAGAAGACACACAAGAAACCGGGCGGAUUACACCUGGAACAAUAUCGGGCGUCUUAUACUAUCUGGGUGUAUACUGGUCCUCACUUGCUGUUUUUUUACAUGUCACUUGAAGACAGAAAGGAAUAUAUAACCGUAAAUAUGUUGAUGAUUCGUGGUAAACUUUAUAACUAAGAGCAGACAACAUCAUAGGUCCUAGCCACCUCUAAUAAAUGCCUUCUUCUGUAGUGUGGCAGCCUGGCAUGAAUGUUGCCAAGCAGUGCCAAUACCAAUUGGAAGGUCCAUAGAGAAUGGCAGUUUUUACCCCUUAUUGGCCCAAUUGAAAUGCCCUGAUUUAUGAAAAGUGUGUGUGGGGGGAGGGAAAGGUCUAAGGAGUCAUAAGAGGUGCCAGAAUGUCCCUAGCAUGGUAGAACAAGUUAAGGGAAGCAGAAGGAGUAGUUAGUUUGGUAGUAGAGGUAAAUGGUAUUGGUCACAUUUCCAGUGUCACUAGAUUGUCUGGCAUGGGGAGGGUGAGCCCUUGUUCAUUCCGGCAAAGUGGAAACAGUGGAAAAAUAGUGGAGAUGUAGGGGAGGGAGUGGCCUUUGACAAAGACCCACCCAACCCUCCUGCUUUUCGUGUGUGAAUAGUUAGAAGUUGUAGUAUGUAAGGUUGGAUCAGGGCACUCCUGGUGGCAGUAGUUCAGUGGUGGACCACAACGAGUUUAUCAUUAGUCUCACGGCAGGGUGAACUUGUACUUUGGGAGACACACGUUACAAGUUGAGCACCCAUGAGGAUAUUUUAGGCUUGUGGAGUUAUGAAGGCCGAACUGUGGUGGACAGCCGUGUUUGGUGGACACAGCUUUCCUGGUUCAAGGUUGCUUACUAGAUGGGAGGACAGACACUGUGCCAAAAAGUCUAGCCCUCCUUCACCACCAUUUUUCACAUUUCCUACCAGAUUUAACAGUCUCUCCUUGUUAAUCCUUGGGAGUUAUUUACAAAGACUGGCUUUUUAUGCCGGUCUUGUACUUGCUUUUGUGCUGGUAUUGCUGUCUAAUGAUGGACCUAAUUUAUGAUGAGGCAUGCGCCUCAUCAGGAAGUAGGUGCACCUUAAGCAGCCGUGUGCCUGGCUGAAAAGCUAGACUAGACCCUGGUUGGUUUACACAUUUACGCCUGUUUCUACUUGGUAAAUGUGUCGGGGUCGAACUGCUGGCCCCAGCAUGGCCUGCGUUACACCCUCGACACUUCUAUGUGUCA